UGGGCAACCUGCCCCUCUCUCUGGGAUAACCCCGGGAAACCGGAGCUAAUACCGGAUACUCCGGCUGGAUCGCAUGGUCCGGCCGGGAAAGGUCCGCCGGAGAGGGAUGGGCCCGCGGCCUAUCAGCUUGUUGGUGGGGUCAUGGCUCACCAAGGCGACGACAGGUAGCUGGUCUGAGAGGACGACCAGCCACACUGGAACUGAGAUACGGUCCAGACUCCGUACGGGAGGCA
Molecule: ribosomal RNA, 233 nt
Filed under: uncultured bacterium
Lineage: Bacteria
Description: partial 16S ribosomal RNA
Rfam family: Bacterial small subunit ribosomal RNA
Source: RNAcentral